CAGCAGCCGCGGUAAUACAGAGGGUGCAAGCGUUAAUCGGAAUUACUGGGCGUAAAGCGCGCGUAGGUGGUUUGUUAAGUUGGAUGUGAAAUCCCCGGGCUCAACCUGGGAACUGCAUCCAAAACUGGCAAGCUAGAGUAUGGUAGAGGGUGGUGGAAUUUCCUGUGUAGCGGUGAAAUGCGUAGAUAUAGGAAGGAACACCAGUGGCGAAGGCGACCACCUGGACUGAUACUGACACUGAGGUGCGAAAGCGUGGGGAGCAAACAGGAUUAGAUACCCCUGUAGUCCCUGUCUCUUAUAA
This 301-nucleotide ribosomal RNA is filed under the name uncultured bacterium. RNAcentral's name for it is "partial 16S ribosomal RNA". It matches the Rfam family "Bacterial small subunit ribosomal RNA", at positions 509 to 809 of the family's 1533-position model. The record is from RNAcentral.